Non-coding RNA from Psilocybe cubensis, 73 nucleotides. Lineage: Eukaryota; Fungi; Basidiomycota; Agaricomycetes; Agaricales; Agrocybaceae. The record is from the annotation of a RefSeq genome assembly.
GGGCAUGUAUCUAAAUUGGUAUAGUGUUUAAUUGUCAAUUAAAAAGUUCUUAGUUCGAAUCUAAGCAUGCUCG